This 95-nucleotide ribosomal RNA is filed under the name Bradyrhizobium sp. The record is from RNAcentral. Lineage: Bacteria; Pseudomonadati; Pseudomonadota; Alphaproteobacteria; Hyphomicrobiales; Nitrobacteraceae.
GCUUGAACCCGAUCCCAUCCCGAACUCGGCCGUUAAACUCCUCAGCGCCAAUGGUACUAUGGCUUAAGCCCUGGGAGAGUAGGUCGCUGCCAGGC